RNAcentral lists this long non-coding RNA (1349 nucleotides) under Nicotiana benthamiana. RNAcentral's name for it is "long non-coding RNA (NBEN_LNC027812)". The record is from RNAcentral. Lineage: Eukaryota; Viridiplantae; Streptophyta; Magnoliopsida; Solanales; Solanaceae.
UGGGAGAGGAAAGUGAUGUUUUGAAGAGUAAGCAUCCAAAAUUUUGAAACUUAUGCACUCCUUCUUUGAGGAAAUUUCAUACCUCUUGUUUAGGAAUGGAUAAAGCCACUUAUUAUACUUGUUGUAAAUGAUCGACACUAGUAAGCAUUCAAAUAUUUGAAACUUAUGCACUCCUUCUUUGAGGAAAUUUCAUACCUCGUGUUUAGGAAUGGAUAAAGCCACUUAUUAUACUUGUUGUAAAUGAUUGGCACUAACAUUUUGUCACGACCAAAAUCUAGAGGGCCACGAAUGGCUCGCGAUGAGCCAGCGUCUGCAGAGAGAGCACUUAACGUCGUUGUAUCAACUACCCAUAAAGCAUACAUUGGGGUUCCAAGCGAUCCUACAUUGUCACACGUCAGCUAAAUGAGGCAUAACUUCCCAUCGAAGCGAACACACAUAUCUGAAUUAAGCCUUGACGAGAGAUACAAUCUAUUUACGGUCCCAAGUACUUACACAUCAAUCCAUAGUAAAGUAUGGAGCGUCUAAUGAAUAAGGUUAUACAUAAACCGAAACUGGAUGUAGCCCAUCAAUAAGUAAAGGUAGAAAUAUCAAAGGAGGCCGCCGCCAAUCUAGUGUGGGGCUCUCCGCAGAAGCUCUAUCUAGUGGUGCUCAAGCCUCGUAGAUGGAGAUGUCGACUGAACCUGUAAGACCUGAAGGUAGAUGGACGGAGUAUACUCAGCAAAUCUGAUAGACCUGCCUCUAAAAGUUGGGACAAGUCUUAAGAGAAAACAUGCAUUUGUAUGAAAGGUCAUAACUUUGGAAAACUUGAAUGUUUCAUAUGGAUACAUUAGUUCUAAAGUCAUAAAUGUGUACAUACUACCCUCCCUAACUCCACUAGUGAGAAUAUACUAGAUAAGAAAACUUGACUGUUAUAUGGAGACAUUAGUUCUAAAGUCAUAAAUAUGUAAAAAAUUAUGAUAAGAGUUUCAAGGUUGGGGUAAAGAUUGCGUACAUACUAACCUCCCUAACUUUACUUGUGUGAAUAUACUGGGUAUGUUGUGUUGUAGUUUCUUUGAAACAUAAUAUUCCUUUAACAUUAGGCAACCUAGCGCAAACGAGGCAUAAAACGUCAUAAUUACAAAUCAUAAAAAUUACUUUACAAUGUCAUGCACCUCAUACAACAUUCCUGAAACUUAUGCAGCCUGUAUCUACGCUUGGUGCACAAUGCGGCACCAGCUAAUCUUUGGCGACUUAUAUUGCUUGGCAAGUUGUGCAGGCACCAGAGAGUCUACGAUGUCGAAAGCUUUUUAUCCCAGCUUGGCGCACUAUGCCAAUAUCCAGACAGUUUAUAGCGACACUCUUAUAUCUGC